Molecule: ribosomal RNA, 497 nt
Filed under: uncultured bacterium
Lineage: Bacteria
Description: partial 16S ribosomal RNA
Rfam family: Bacterial small subunit ribosomal RNA
Source: RNAcentral
ACUCAAAUGAAUUGACGGGGGCCCGCACAAGCGGUGGAGCAUGUGGUUUAAUUCGAUGCAACGCGAAGAACCUUACCUACUCUUGACAUGUUAGGAAUUUGGCUGAAAGGCUGAAGUGCCGCAAGGAGCCUAAACACAGGUGCUGCAUGGCUGUCGUCAGCUCGUGUCGUGAGAUGUUGGGUUAAGUCCCGUAACGAGCGUAACCCUUAUAUUUAGUUGCUAAUCAGAAAUGGUGCACUCUAGAUAGACUGCCGGUGUUAAGCCGGAGGAAGGUGGGGAUGACGUCAAGUCAUCAUGGCCUUUAUGAGUAGGGCGACACACGUGCUACAAUGGACGUUACAGAGAGAGUUGAAACCGCGAGGUGGAACAAAUCUUUCAAAGGCGUUCGUAGUCCGGAUUGUAGUCUGCAACUCGACUACAUGAAGUUGGAAUCGCUAGUAAUCGCGAAUCAGAAUGUCGCGGUGAAUACGUUCCCGGGCCUUGCACACACCGCCCGU